This 492-nucleotide ribosomal RNA is filed under the name uncultured bacterium. RNAcentral's name for it is "partial 16S ribosomal RNA". It matches the Rfam family "Bacterial small subunit ribosomal RNA", at positions 29 to 507 of the family's 1533-position model. The record is from RNAcentral.
AGUGAACGCUGGCGGUAGGCCUAACACAUGCAAGUCGAACGGCAGCACAGUAAGAGCUUGCUCUUACGGGUGGCGAGUGGCGGACGGGUGAGGAAUACAUCGGAAUCUACUUUUUCGUGGGGGAUAACGUAGGGAAACUUACGCUAAUACCGCAUACGACCUACGGGUGAAAGCAGGGGAUCUUCGGACCUUGCGCGAUUGAAUGAGCCGAUGUCGGAUUAGCUAGUUGGCGGGGUAAAGGCCCACCAAGGCGACGAUCCGUAGCUGGUCUGAGAGGAUGAUCAGCCACACUGGAACUGAGACACGGUCCAGACUCCUACGGGAGGCAGCAGUGGGGAAUAUUGGACAAUGGGCGCAAGCCUGAUCCAGCCAUGCCGCGUGGGUGAAGAAGGCCUUCGGGUUGUAAAGCCCUUUUAUUGGGGAAGAAAAGCAGCAGAUUAAUACCCCGCUGUUCUGACGGUACCCAAAGAAAAAGCACCGGCUAACUUCGUG